GCUGUCCGCAUUGAGAACCUGGAGCUGAUGUCGCAGCACGGCUGUAACGCCUGGAAGGUCUACAACGAGCAUCUGGUUCAUAUGAUAGAACAAGCCCAGAAAGAGCUUCAGAAGUUGAGG
Long non-coding RNA from Athene cunicularia (burrowing owl), 120 nucleotides. RefSeq lists it as uncharacterized. The record is from RefSeq and is a predicted model, not a curated record. NCBI's taxonomy places the organism in Eukaryota, Metazoa, Chordata, Aves, Strigiformes, Strigidae. The transcript is spliced from 2 exons.